Molecule: long non-coding RNA, 286 nt
Organism: Zophobas morio
Lineage: Eukaryota; Metazoa; Arthropoda; Insecta; Coleoptera; Tenebrionidae
Exons: 2
Source: RefSeq, a predicted model, not a curated record
UGACAGUUGACAAUUUCAUUAAGAGACACGUAAAUAAUUUUCGUGCAAAUUGUGAGCUACAAACAGAUUUUGAAAACGAUGGAUGUAGACAAGCGCCUCGUCUAUAGAUAUUGAUAGUACACCACCAGAAGUGCUUGAAGCAGGCUACUGUUCCUGUUGACGCAGAUGGAGACAAGACUACUUUUAAGCGCCAGGGUGGAAAUAUUCUGCUACCGCCAAAGAAUAUAUUGAUGAAUCAGUUACCAAUAAUUACCAAUAAAAUGCAAAUUGCAGAUAAAAUUUUAAA